AUUCCCCUUAGUAACGGCGAAGUGAAGCGGGAAGAGCUCAAAUUUGAAAGCUGGCGUCUUCGGCGUCCGCAUUGUAAUCUCGAGAGUUGUUUUCCGUGCUGGACCAUGUACAAGUUCCUUGGAAUAGGACGUCAUAGAGGGUGAGAAUCCCGUACUUGACAUGGCUGCCCAGUGCUUUGUGAUACAACCUCAACGAGUCGAGUUGUUUGGGAAUGCAGCUCAAAAUGGGUGGUAAAUUCCAUCUAAAGCUAAAUAUUGGGGAGAGACCGAUAGCGAACAAGUACCGUGAGGGAAAGAUGAAAAGCACUUUGGAAAGAGAGUUAAACAGUACGUGAAAUUGUCAAAAGGGAAGCGCUUGAAGUUAGUUAUGCUUGCUGGGACUCAGCCUUGCUUUUGCUUGGUGCAUUUCCCAGUAUGCAGGUCAGCAUCGGUUUUGUCUGCUGGAUAAGGGUAAAAGGAACGUGGCACCCUCGGGUGUGUUAUAGCCUUCUACUGGAUACAGCGGACGGGACCGAGGAACGCAGCGCGCCUCACGGCGGACCUUCGGGUACCUUCGCGCUUAGGAUGCUGGCGUAAUAGCUUUAAGCGGCCCGUCUUGAAACACGGACCAAGGAGUCUAACAUGUCUGCGAGUCUUUGGGUGGCAAACCCAUAGGCGCAAUGAAAGUGAAUGCAGGUGCGAUCCGCAAGGAGCAGCAUCGACCGAUCCGGAUCUUCUGUGAUGGAUUUGAGUAAGAGCAUAUAUGUUGGGACCCGAAAGAUGGUGAACUAUUCCUGAAUAGGGCGAAGCCAGAGGAAACUCUGGUGGAGGCUCGUAGCGGUUUCUGACGUGCAAAUCGAUCGUCAAAUUUGGGUAUAGGGGCGAAAGACUAAUCGAACCAUCUAGUAGCUGGUCUGC
RNAcentral lists this ribosomal RNA (897 nucleotides) under Tilletiopsis washingtonensis. RNAcentral describes it as "LSU rRNA". It matches the Rfam family "Eukaryotic large subunit ribosomal RNA", at positions 73 to 959 of the family's 3401-position model. Lineage: Eukaryota; Fungi; Basidiomycota; Exobasidiomycetes; Entylomatales. The record is from RNAcentral.